CCAAACGAAAGUUUGGCUAAUACCGCGUAAGCUCCAAGGAGGAAAGUAGGGGACCUAAAUAAGGCCUUACGCUAUUUGAUCGGCCGAUGUCGGAUCAGCUAGUUGGUGGGGUAAUGGCUCACCAAGGCAAUGAUCCGUAGCGGGUCUGAGAGGACGAUCCGCCACACUGGGACUGAGACACGGCCCAG
This 188-nucleotide ribosomal RNA is filed under the name uncultured Neisseriales bacterium. RNAcentral describes it as "partial 16S ribosomal RNA". It matches the Rfam family "Bacterial small subunit ribosomal RNA", at positions 147 to 334 of the family's 1533-position model. Lineage: Bacteria; Pseudomonadati; Pseudomonadota; Betaproteobacteria; Neisseriales. The record is from RNAcentral.